CACGUAGGGGACGAGCGUUGUCCGGAUUCAUUGGGCGUAAAGCGCGCGUAGGCGGCUCGGAGAGUCGGGUGUGAAAGCCCGGGGCUCAACCCCGGGACUGCAUCCGAUACUUCCGGGCUGGAGGCAGGUAGGGGAGAUCGGAAUUCCUGGUGUAGCGGUGAAAUGCGCAGAUAUCAGGAGGAACACCGGUGGCGAAGGCGGAUCUCUGGGCCUUGCCUGACGCUGAGGCGCGAAAGCUAGGGGAGCGAACAGG
RNAcentral lists this ribosomal RNA (253 nucleotides) under uncultured bacterium. RNAcentral describes it as "partial 16S ribosomal RNA". It matches the Rfam family "Bacterial small subunit ribosomal RNA", at positions 524 to 776 of the family's 1533-position model. The record is from RNAcentral.